Molecule: ribosomal RNA, 195 nt
Filed under: uncultured eukaryote
Lineage: Eukaryota
Description: partial 18S ribosomal RNA
Rfam family: Eukaryotic small subunit ribosomal RNA
Source: RNAcentral
CAUAACCUGGUUGAUCCUGCCAGUAGUCAUAUGCUUGUCUCAAAGAUUAAGCCAUGCAUGUCUAAGUAUAAGCACUUUAUACUGUGAAACUGCGAAUGGCUCAUUAAAUCAGUUAUAGUUUAUUUGAUAGUACCUUACUACUUGGAUAACCGUGGUAAUUCUAGAGCUAAUACAUGCAUAAAAUCCCGACUUUCG